This 584-nucleotide small RNA is filed under the name Pongo abelii (Sumatran orangutan). RNAcentral's name for it is "processed transcript". The record is from RNAcentral. Lineage: Eukaryota; Metazoa; Chordata; Mammalia; Primates; Hominidae.
UCAGUGGACCGAAAUCUGGCCAGCGGGUGUGUGAGUCUCUGUGGCCGCGGAGGCGCGGAGCUAAGCGGCUCGGAUUAUCCUGGGCAGACCAGGGACUUGACCAGCUAAACACUUCCGUCGGUCCGGGGCGUGGACGGAGCCAGAUCAGCCUCCUGCUCUCCCGAGUCAGGGCCACGGAAAGGCACAAAUCCAUCCGUGCGACUCCUGGUACCCAGACCGGGAGGUCGUCUAGUCACCCGCGGUCCGUGUUGGGUGAGAGCUGAGGAGCCGGCGUCUCUGCCAACGACUCAGCCCCGGGACGGUCAGGAGCCUGGGGUCCUGGUCCCGCACCUGUCUUCGGGCGGACGCAUCCCUCACGGUCUCUCCGCAGCCCGCGGGUCCCGCCCCCGCAGGCAGCGCGCGAACGUGGGCGUGGGGAUGGCCACCAGUUUCCGGACAGCUUCGUGCUGGAUUUGCCAGUUUUUCAGUUGGUCAUAUACAGAAACUCCGUUUCUGAAUUUCCCUGCUGUUCCCUCCCAGCCCCCACUCUUUGCUGUUGCUUAGAAUGCAGAUGUGAUGACUAGAGCCAUCUUAGACUGGGUUGC